This 254-nucleotide ribosomal RNA is filed under the name uncultured bacterium. RNAcentral's name for it is "partial 16S ribosomal RNA". It matches the Rfam family "Bacterial small subunit ribosomal RNA", at positions 524 to 776 of the family's 1533-position model. The record is from RNAcentral.
UACGUAGGGUGCGAGCGUUGUCCGGAAUUAUUGGGCGUAAAGAGCUCGUAGGCGGUGUGUCACGUCGUUCGUGAAAACCUGCAGCUUAACUGUGGGCGUGCGGUCGAUACGGGCAUCACUGGAGUUCGGCAGGGGAGACUGGAAUUCCUGGUGUAGCGGUGAAAUGCGCAGAUAUCAGGAGGAACACCGGUGGCGAAGGCGGCAUCCUGGACCGACAUUGACGCUGAUGAGCGAAAGCUAGGGGAGCAAACGGG